GCCUCUGUGGCGCAAUCAGCUAGCGCGUUCGGCUGUUAACCGAAGGGUUGGUGGUUCGAGCACACCCGGGGGCG
Molecule: transfer RNA, 74 nt
Filed under: Trichonephila inaurata madagascariensis
Lineage: Eukaryota; Metazoa; Arthropoda; Arachnida; Araneae; Nephilidae
Rfam family: tRNA
About the family: Transfer RNA (tRNA) molecules are approximately 80 nucleotides in length. Their secondary structure includes four short double-helical elements and three loops (D, anti-codon, and T loops).
Source: Rfam by way of RNAcentral